Cannabis sativa is the source of this 1967-nucleotide long non-coding RNA. RefSeq lists it as uncharacterized. The transcript is spliced from 5 exons. Lineage: Eukaryota; Viridiplantae; Streptophyta; Magnoliopsida; Rosales; Cannabaceae. The record is from RefSeq and is a predicted model, not a curated record.
UGCUAAGUUCCUCCCAAACUCCUACCCUCACAAGGAUUGACUGUGAUAUUCCAUGAACAAUUGCCAUAUGGGAGUAUAGAAAAAGAGGAAAGAAGUUAUAAUAAUAAUAUUAAAUAAAUAAAUGAAAAAAAAAAAAGCAAUUUUUUUCUGAAAGUACCUUCACAUUUCACUAUGGUUAUUAUCAUAAAAAAAAAUUAGUAACACAGAUGGAGGUAAAAAUGAGGGAAGGAAGCAUUAAUAUUAAUUAAUUUUUUUUGCUGUGUAUGUUCGCAUUAUAUAAGCUUACAUUGGACAAGAUCGUUUAAGGUACAUUACUCUUCUCUUUUGAUUCCCUUCACUUUUCAAUUUAUCAAUUCAUUCCAUCAGUGAAAUACAACGCCACACUUUUCUCCUAUUUUUUUUUUUUCAAAAAGUAAAGCCAUUAGUAUUGUGAAGAGUUAUAUACUUAAUAUAUAGACGACUACCCAAUCAUGAAAAAAAGUAGUGAUACAUGCAUUUUGAUUGAUUAUAUAUAUUGGUAUUUUCAUUAAUUUCAGAUAUGGGUUUUUGAGAGUUGAAUCGGCUUGUACUUCUUCUCAGCUCGUCAGAACCUUAUCGUAUUCGUACAUUUCGAACGACGAAAUUGGAAAGGGAUUUGCUGGGUUUUAAGUUAUUAUAAUAAUGGGUUGAACAAUAUUUCAUGAAAUUAUAUAUAAUUACUAUAAAUCUUCCUAUCGUGAUAUCAUAUAAGGCGUUUUCGUGGAUUUAUUUUGUCAUUGUCCAAUUAUAAUAUACGUGGUUUGAUAGUAGAUAUAGAUUUUUCAGGAAACAACAUUAUGUUUAUACGUGGCUCCCCACUUGUAUAAACAUCAUGUAACAAGAUAUAGAUUUUUCUGUUUUUCUGUUUUUGUUUAAAUAUGAAUUUGAAUUAAAUAUAUAUUUUUUGUAUUAAAUAAAUAUAAAUUUGUUUAAAAUAAAACAAAAUUAUAUUAUUUAGAUGAAAUAUCAGGUGAUAUUUUAAUAUAAUUAUAUUGUAUUUUAUAAUUUAUUUUAAUAUAAUUUAAAAUAUCACCUGAUAUUUAUUUUAAGGAAGCAGUUUUAUACGAAAUAUCACCUGAUAUUCAUUGGAUAUAUACUGGUCCAAUAAAGGUACUCUACUAAAAUUGAUGAUUGUUAUAAGGUACUCUAGCAUAUAUGUAUGUCCACUAUAUAUAUAGCUCAGUAAGUCAUCGACUGUAGUGUCUCUUCCAACUUAAAGAUUUUGAGCAAAAGGCUGUUCUUACUGCAUAGGUACCCUUUCUUCUCUUCCCAUCUCUUAAUUUUUAGUUCUUCAAUUUUCCACAGAUCUUCUAUUAAUUAACUCAUUCAUAUUCACAUAUAUCUAAUAAUUAAUCUCUUAAUUAAUUAGGCCAUUAACUAUACAUAUCAUACGUAAUCUUGAAUUAAUCUUCUUUUUAAUAAUUUUCUCAAGAAAGGUCAUUACGCAUUCUUAUUUGUUUUCGCCUCUAUCAGUUGACACAAGUAAAUUUUUGUUAUUUCUUAGUAAAGUCUGCAAUCCUAUUGUUACACACUUGGCCAUCCUUCUUCCUCAGCAAAGCUCUUAUUUGAAGAUCAAAACUUGGUUCUUGCCAUUUAUUGUCGGUUUAGAUUAUUUGUGUUGUACUCUCCAUUUGAAUAUCAGGUUGCUGUCAUUUAUUGUCGGUUUAGAUUAUUCGUGCCGUACUCUCCAUUUGAAUAUCAGAUGCCGACUCUACACCAAUCAGUUGAUGACAUCACUCCAACCAUAGUUGGAUGGAAAAUAAAAAUGACAGUUCUACAAAAAUUUCCACCACGAACAAGCAUGAGUUCACCAGUCCGAUAUCAGAAGCUGUAUUUAUCUGAUCCAAAGGGGACGAGAGUAGAUGCAGUAAUUUUCGCAGACGAUAUUGAAGCUUUGGAGGACACUUUGCAUGAGUUACACACCUACCACAUCGUUGAUGCCCGUGUCA